UCAUAGAAUUUUUUUAAAUUCAUGAUGUCGUAAGGGAAAAUAAUGAUAAUACCUUACUAUGAGUGUCGUCCAAAGCUGGUGCCAGAAGACUCGGUAAGACCAGAGACGCAAACGUUAAUCAUCAUAAACAGGCGUAAAGGGUUUGUAGGCGGCUUUUAUAAGGUUAUGAUUGCACAAAAAGAAAGGGUAAUCUACAUUGAAAGCUAGAAUCAAAAAGAGGUUAUAGUGUAUAACGCCUAGAGGAGGGCUGAUAUCCUUAGAUCCUAGGCAGAAUACUCAGGGCGAAGGCCACUCUCCACUAAUGAUUGACGCUGAGAAACGAAGGUUAGGGUAGGAAAUAGGAUUAGAUACCCCGGUACUCCUUUCUGUAAACGAUGAAUGGUAGUCAUUAGUUAAAUUAAAUAACUAGAGGCGAAGUUAACACAAUAACCAUUCCGCCUUGUGAGUACUACUGCAAAGUAGAAAACAAAAAAAUUAGUCGGUCUCGAAGCAAACGGAGUGAAGCAUGUUAUUUA
RNAcentral lists this ribosomal RNA (515 nucleotides) under Ganoderma guangxiense. RNAcentral describes it as "SSU rRNA". It matches the Rfam family "Bacterial small subunit ribosomal RNA", at positions 409 to 948 of the family's 1533-position model. The record is from RNAcentral. Lineage: Eukaryota; Fungi; Basidiomycota; Agaricomycetes; Polyporales; Polyporaceae.